UUGUUAAGUGCAUUCAUAAUCUUGGAGGUUGUUAGAUACCUUAGUUUGAUGUUUAAAGAUACUUGUAUUGUGUUUUCUUACUCAGUUUCAUCAUUGGUACUCUAACUUUGUGCUUUUAUGUAUUAAUCUCCUUAAGAGACCCACUUAUUGUGAUUAGAAGUGGUUUGUGAGGUUAGAAGUGUUUUGUGAAAGAAGAGGUGAUUAAAAAGAGGUAAAUUUUAUUCAAGAGGUUAUCAGACUUGUGAAAAGUCUUAUAAGUAAAGUUGAGAGUGAUUGAAGAGUGUAAAUAAUAGUUUACUCAUUAAGAGGGUAUUCUAGGUUUUUAAGGCAGCAACAUCUUCUUGUUGAUUUUGAGAGUUCAUUCUUCCCUUUUCUUAAUUUUUUUUAAUACACCCCUUCUUUAGACAUGACUGUAAGUAAAGGUGAGGGUUUGA
RNAcentral lists this long non-coding RNA (434 nucleotides) under Physcomitrium patens. Its description in RNAcentral is "long non-coding RNA (PPAT_LNC007225)". Lineage: Eukaryota; Viridiplantae; Streptophyta; Bryopsida; Funariales; Funariaceae. The record is from RNAcentral.